GUGGGGAAUUUUGGACAAUGGGCGAAAGCCUGAUCCAGCAAUGCCGCGUGCAGGAUGAAGGCCUUCGGGUUGUAAACUGCUUUUGUACGGAACGAAAAGCUUUGGGUUAAUACCCUGGAGUCAUGACGGUACCGUAAGAAUAAGCACCGGCUAACUACGUGCCAGCAGCCGCGGUAAUACGUAGGGUGCAAGCGUUAAUCGGAAUUACUGGGCGUAAAGCGUGCGCAGGCGGUUUUGUAAGACAGAGGUGAAAUCCCCGGGCUCAACCUGGGAACUGCCUUUGUGACUGCAAGGCUAGAGUACGGCAGAGGGGGGUGGAAUUCCGCGUGUAGCAGUGAAAUGCGUAGAUAUGCGGAGGAACACCGAUGGCGAAGGCAACCCCCUGGGCCUGUACUGACGCUCAUGCACGAAAGCGUGGGGAGCAAACAGG
RNAcentral lists this ribosomal RNA (430 nucleotides) under uncultured Comamonas sp. RNAcentral describes it as "bacterial SSU rRNA". It matches the Rfam family "Bacterial small subunit ribosomal RNA", at positions 354 to 776 of the family's 1533-position model. The record is from RNAcentral. Lineage: Bacteria; Pseudomonadati; Pseudomonadota; Betaproteobacteria; Burkholderiales; Comamonadaceae.